UACGUAGGGUGCGAGCGUUGUCCGGAAUUAUUGGGCGUAAAGGGCUCGUAGGCGGUCUGUUGCGUCAGGAGUGAAAACUCGGGGCUUAACCCCGAGCCUGCUUCUGAUACGGGCAGACUAGAGGUAUGCAGGGGAGAACGGAAUUCCUGGUGUAGCGGUGAAAUGCGCAGAUAUCGGGAAGAACACCCGUGGCGAAGGCGGUUCUCUGGGACGGUACUGACGCUGAGACGCGAAAGCGUGGGGAGCGAACAGG
Molecule: ribosomal RNA, 253 nt
Filed under: uncultured bacterium
Lineage: Bacteria
Description: partial 16S ribosomal RNA
Rfam family: Bacterial small subunit ribosomal RNA
Source: RNAcentral